RNAcentral lists this non-coding RNA (24 nucleotides) under Arabidopsis thaliana (thale cress). The record is from RNAcentral. Lineage: Eukaryota; Viridiplantae; Streptophyta; Magnoliopsida; Brassicales; Brassicaceae.
AUUAUUUUAGAUUACCAAAGUUGG